GACGAACGCUGGCGGCGUGCUUAACACAUGCAAGUCGAACGGAAAGGCCCUGCUUUUGUGGGGUUCUCGAGUGGCGAACGGGUGAGUAACACGUGAGUAACCUGCCCUUGACUUUGGGAUAACUUCAGGAAACUGGGGCUAAUACCGGAUAGGAGCUCCUGCUGCAUGGUGGGGGUUGGAAAGUUUCGGCGGUUGGGGAUGGACUCGCGGCUUAUCAGCUUGUUGGUGGGGUAGUGGCUUACCAAGGCUUUGACGGGUAGCCGGCCUGAGAGGGUGACCGGCCACAUUGGGACUGAGAGACGGCCCAGACUCCUACGGGAGGCAGCAGUGGGGAAUAUUGCACAAUGGGCGGAAGCCUGAUGCAGCAACGCCGCGUGCGGGAUGACGGCCUUCGGGUUGUAAACCGCUUUCGCCUGUGACGAAGCGUGAGUGACGGUAAUGGGUAAAGAAGCACCGGCUAACUACGUG
Molecule: ribosomal RNA, 468 nt
Filed under: uncultured bacterium
Lineage: Bacteria
Description: partial 16S ribosomal RNA
Rfam family: Bacterial small subunit ribosomal RNA
Source: RNAcentral